CACCCUACCGAACGGUUGGGUUCCAAGUUCGUCGCUUUUUAUUGUCGUCGGAUAAGCGCGAGAGAGGUGAUCUCUAAACGCGCCUCGAUCUCGGAAAACGCGCGACAGAUACAUACAUACAUAGAUAUAUAUCGAUAUCCCUCUAUCUACAUCUCUCUUUUUCUCUUUCUCUUUCUCUCUUCCUGCUCUCUCCUUUCUUUUUCUUUCUCUUCUCUCUCUCUCUCUUUCUCUUUCCAUCUUUCCUAAUUUCUCUAUAUCAAUCGUUCGGGGGAGAAAAAAGAAAAGCGAAAUGGAAAUAUUCAAGACUUAAUUAAGACGUAUCGACUGCGGAGAGAGAGGAAGAAGACAGUGUUACCUUUCUCUCUCUCUCUCUCUCUUCCUUUCUCUCCUUUCUUUCUCUCUUUCUCUUUCUUUCUUUCUCUCUUUCUCUCUUUUUCUUUCUUUCUUUCUUUCUCUGUCUCUCUUUCUCUAUCUAUCUAUCUAUCUAUCUAUCUCGCUCUCCGUUCUCUCGUACUUCGUGUGGACGCGUACCGCAACCGGUCAGCGCGUGUGCACCCGACAACGAUCGAUCCUCUCCGCGAUAGAGAUCCAGAGAGAGAAGCGAUGGACGGAACCACCCUUCCACGAGACGACGACGCCAGAUAAGGAGCAGGAACAUCGAGGAUAAACCUCCUCUUCUCUCCUCUCUCUCUUUUUCUCUCUCUGUUUCUAUCUCCGUCUCCGUCUCCGUCUCCGUGUCUGUAUCCAUCUCCGUCUCCGUUCCGUCUCCGUCUCCGUUCCGUCUCCGUCUCCGUCUCUGUCGCACUCUCGGCCGCUCGCUUGUUCGCUCUCUAGCUAGCCUUUAUCUCUACGUCGACACUUUUUUCAACGAUAUUCGGCCAAUUUCUUCGCACGAAAGAGGAAGAGGAAGGAGUACGAACGAGAAGGAGAAUAGAUUUCGAUUUGGAUCUUGCUAGAUCAAAGAGAAAUUCUUCUUUGAGAUUAAUAAAACAAGAAUAAAAACCAGAAGAAGAAGAAGAAGAAAAACAAGCAGAAGCAGAAGAUAAGAAGAAGAAGAAAAAGAAGAAGAAGAAG
Molecule: long non-coding RNA, 1074 nt
Organism: Vespula pensylvanica (western yellowjacket)
Lineage: Eukaryota; Metazoa; Arthropoda; Insecta; Hymenoptera; Vespidae
Exons: 2
Source: RefSeq, a predicted model, not a curated record